Molecule: ribosomal RNA, 497 nt
Filed under: uncultured bacterium
Lineage: Bacteria
Description: partial 16S ribosomal RNA
Rfam family: Bacterial small subunit ribosomal RNA
Source: RNAcentral
GAUGAACGCUGGCGGCGUGCCUAAUACAUGCAAGUCGAGCGAACAGACGAGGAGCUUGCUCCUCUGACGUUAGCGGCGGACGGGUGAGUAACACGUGGAUAACCUACCUAUAAGACUGGGAUAACUUCGGGAAACCGGAGCUAAUACCGGAUAAUAUAUUGAACCGCAUGGUUCAAUAGUGAAAGACGGUUUUGCUGUCACUUAUAGAUGGAUCCGCGCCGCAUUAGCUAGUUGGUAAGGUAACGGCUUACCAAGGCGACGAUGCGUAGCCGACCUGAGAGGGUGAUCGGCCGCACUGGAACUGGGACACGGUCCAGACUCCUACGAGAGGCAGCAGUAGGGAAUCUUCCGCAAUGGGCGAAAGCCUGACGGAGCAACGCCGCGUGAGUGAUGAAGGUCUUCGGAUCGUAAAACUCUGUUAUUAGGGAAGAACAAAUGUGUAAGUAACUAUGCACGUCUUGACGGUACCUAAUCAGAAAGCCACGGCUAACUACGUG